This 409-nucleotide ribosomal RNA is filed under the name bacterium BP30. Its description in RNAcentral is "bacterial SSU rRNA". It matches the Rfam family "Bacterial small subunit ribosomal RNA", at positions 83 to 473 of the family's 1533-position model. The record is from RNAcentral.
GGGGGACGAAUGGUGGAAUGAGCGGCGGACGGGUGAGUAACACGUAAAGAACCUGCCCAUAGGUCUGGGAUAACCACGAGAAAUCGGGGCUAAUACCGGAUGUGUCAUCGGACCGCAUGGUCCGUUGAUGAAAGGCGCUUCGGCGUCGCCCAUGGAUGGCUUUGCGGUGCAUUAGCUAGUUGGUGGGGUAACGGCCCACCAAGGCGACGAUGCAUAGCCGACCUGAGAGGGUGAUCGGCCACACUGGGAAUGAGACACGGCCCAGACUCCUACGGGAGGCAGCAGUAGGGAAUCUUCCACAAUGGACGAAAGUCUGAUGGAGCAACGCCGCGUGAACGAUGAAGGCUUUCGGGUCGUAAAGUUCUGUUGUAAGGGAAGAACAAGUGCCGCAGGCAAUGGCGGCACUGAC